This is a long non-coding RNA of Chelonia mydas (Green sea turtle), 325 nucleotides long. RefSeq lists it as uncharacterized. NCBI's taxonomy places the organism in Eukaryota, Metazoa, Chordata, Testudines, Cheloniidae. The transcript is spliced from 2 exons. The record is from RefSeq and is a predicted model, not a curated record.
AACCGGUGGCCCAAGCAAGAUUUUUGCCAGCUUGAGAAGAGACCGUCACCAAUACCUUAUUUCGGUGCUGUGCUUCUUCAAAUAGAAUUGGAGCAAUCCUCGACUUGAAGCUGCCUUCAAUCGGAAGUGUAUUGAUUAGAAACACUAAAGACAGAGAAGAGUUCCUUAUGGUGGUAUAAGAAGAUUUCAUAUGAAGUAACAGGAUCAAAUGAAGAAAAGGAAAAAUUUCCGGAGAGAGAGAGAGAGAGAAAGUAGGCUGCAGAAUGGGACAAUUAAACUAGUCUGGACAAAGCAAUAAAAAUGCAAUAAAGAGACCAAAUAUGCA